This 754-nucleotide ribosomal RNA is filed under the name Bacillus sp. ZI(2010). Its description in RNAcentral is "bacterial SSU rRNA". It matches the Rfam family "Bacterial small subunit ribosomal RNA", at positions 39 to 774 of the family's 1533-position model. The record is from RNAcentral. Lineage: Bacteria; Bacillati; Bacillota; Bacilli; Caryophanales; Bacillaceae.
GCGGCGUGCUAAUACAUGCAAGUCGAGCGAAUGGAUUAAGAGCUUGCUCUUAUGAAGUUAGCGGCGGACGGGUGAGUAACACGUGGGUAACCUGCCCAUAAGACUGGGAUAACUCCGGGAAACCGGGGCUAAUACCGGAUAACAUUUUGAACUGCAUGGUUCGAAAUUGAAAGGCGGCUUCGGCUGUCACUUAUGGAUGGACCCGCGUCGCAUUAGCUAGUUGGUGAGGUAACGGCUCACCAAGGCAACGAUGCGUAGCCGACCUGAGAGGGUGAUCGGCCACACUGGGACUGAGACACGGCCCAGACUCCUACGGGAGGCAGCAGUAGGGAAUCUUCCGCAAUGGACGAAAGUCUGACGGAGCAACGCCGCGUGAGUGAUGAAGGCUUUCGGGUCGUAAAACUCUGUUGUUAGGGAAGAACAAGUGCUAGUUGAAUAAGCUGGCACCUUGACGGUACCUAACCAGAAAGCCACGGCUAACUACGUGCCAGCAGCCGCGGUAAUACGUAGGUGGCAAGCGUUAUCCGGAAUUAUUGGGCGUAAAGCGCGCGCAGGUGGUUUCUUAAGUCUGAUGUGAAAGCCCACGGCUCAACCGUGGAGGGUCAUUGGAAACUGGGAGACUUGAGUGCAGAAGAGGAAAGUGGAAUUCCAUGUGUAGCGGUGAAAUGCGUAGAGAUAUGGAGGAACACCAGUGGCGAAGGCGACUUUCUGGUCUGUAACUGACACUGAGGCGCGAAAGCGUGGGGAGCAAACA